Molecule: non-coding RNA, 32 nt
Filed under: Homo sapiens (human)
Lineage: Eukaryota; Metazoa; Chordata; Mammalia; Primates; Hominidae
Source: RNAcentral
CCAAGUGACAGAUUCUGCCAAGUCAGACAAGC